Molecule: RNA transcript, 1817 nt
Organism: Solanum lycopersicum (tomato)
Lineage: Eukaryota; Viridiplantae; Streptophyta; Magnoliopsida; Solanales; Solanaceae
Source: RefSeq, a predicted model, not a curated record
AUUUCGAGUCUUUUCAUUCUCAUCGAAGAGUCAAGAUAGCAGCUUGGCAACUCAGCUGCAGCCUUUUCAGAGUUGUUCAAAAGCACUAGGGUUUCAGAAAAAUUCGAUCUUCAGAGUACUGAAUCAUCACAAAGGAAGAUUCUACGAUAAGGGUUGUUCAGAUCGGUGUUUGUAAAACAUCUGCCUCAAUAUGUUGCAAAGCUCUGGGUUUGCUUAUGGUGAGUCACAUGUGAGGAUGGAUGCUCCUUUUGGUUUGGGCUGAUGCUUGUGAGAAGUGCUUUCCAUCAGGCUCCAAGUGACCCGGGCUAAUUAUGCCAAAGAUUUGGGUGGAAAAGUGAAGUUCUGUUUUAGUUGCAUGGAUGAGAGGACUUGAUAUCUACUGAAGAUGCUUCAUAUAAUAACAUGAUGUGAAAAUUUUUGUCAGGUUCUAUUUUCUUAUAGAAACUAAACAUGCCUAAGGAGAGAAGAGAUAGGUCUGUUUCUUUUGAUAGGAGCAGAGCUUCUCCUUACUGUUGUAGCUCGAGUCACUCAAGGUCAUCAUUGUCCAAAAACCCUUUGGAAAAUGAGGAAAAUGUGAAGGACUGGGAAGAUGCUCGAUGCCCAGUGUGUAUGGAACAUCCUCAUAAUGCUAUUCUCCUUCUGUGUGCCUCUCAUGAGAAGGGCUGUCGUCCUUUUAUGUGUGACACAAGUUAUAGGCAUUCAAAUUGUUUUGAUCAGUUCAAAAAGUCAUUUGAAGAAGCUUCAGCAUCAACAACUCAGCAAGUGGAGAUUCCAGCUUCAGCUUCUAUUACGGAAUCUACUGUAACGUUAUCAGAAGCUCUGUCUGAACUUCCAGGUGAAAGGACCGAAGGUGGUUCUAUAUCCCUAGAUGCCUUGUCUUGCGAGAACCAUGAAAUAAAGAAGAUGCUAUGCCCUCUCUGCCGUGGCCAGAUAAAUGAUUGGAUUGUUGUAGACUCUGCCCGUCGUCACAUGAAUGCCAAAUUAAGAAGCUGCUCUAGCGAGACAUGCGAGUUCAGUGGCACAUAUACAGAUUUGCGUAAGCAUGCUAGGCAGGAGCAUCCUCUUGUACGUCCUACAGAAGCUGACCCAGAGAGGCAGCGCAGUUGGAGGAGGCUGGAACGACAGAGAGAUUUAGGAGAUCUGCUCAGUACAUUGCAGUCAUCUGUUUCAGAAGAGGGUAGUGAAAGCACCAGUUUAACCUUUGAUGAGGGUGGUUUGCUGACUGUUUUUCUCUUUGUUCGGAUUCUCCAACCUAGGAGUAGUUCUCGGAGUAGUAGCUGGUCAGGUUCCUCAAGAACCCGGGCUCAGGCAACUGGGAGGAGACGACCUUCAAGAAGACUUUGGGGUGAAACUUAUGAAGGGGAAAUUGAUACUAGGGAUGACGAGAAUGACGACUCUGAUGGAGGAUCAGGUCCCCGGAGACGCCUGCGUCGACAACCAACCCCAGAAAAUUAGUUCUGGCUGCAAACAUGUGUUUGCUUGCUAUUCCUUUUGAAUGUUACCGCUGUAGGUGGAGGGAAACCUCGUGGUCCAAAAUAUGUCGUGCUGAAAGCUGGGGAAUCGCUUCUUGGAUACAAGAUUCGGAUGGAAAAUUGUGUUUGGUUAGUAGUAUAACUUGUAUACAUGUCCUUCUUGAUGAAAUCUCAUCUCAUCCUGUGUGCUAUGCAAAUGCUUUAUAUCUACUUGAAUUGAUAAAGUUGGAAAGCAAUUUGCUAGUUUUGCUUCUCGUCUUAUGAAUAAACCCCAUUACUGCAAGCAAAAUAUUAAACUUUGGCUACUACAGCAUGAAAGGAAUAUUCACUUUGCUUUUAGCUGUU